GAUGAACGCUGGCGGCGUGCCUAAUACAUGCAAGUCGAGCGAACGGACGAGAAGCUUGCUUCUCUGAUGUUAGCGGCGGACGGGUGAGUAACACGUGGAUAACCUACCUAUAAGACUGGGAUAACUUCGGGAAACCGGAGCUAAUACCGGAUAAUAUUUUGAACCGCAUGGUUCAAAAGUGAAAGACGGUCUUGCUGUCACUUAUAGAUGGAUCCGCGCUGCAUUAGCUAGUUGGUAAGGUAACGGCUUACCAAGGCAACGAUGCAUAGCCGACCUGAGAGGGUGAUCGGCCACACUGGAACUGAGACACGGUCCAGACUCCUACGGGAGGCAGCAGUAGGGAAUCUUCCGCAAUGGGCGAAAGCCUGACGGAGCAACGCCGCGUGAGUGAUGAAGGUCUUCGGAUCGUAAAACUCUGUUAUUAGGGAAGAACAUAUGUGUAGGUAACUGUGCACAUCUUGACAGUACCUAAUCAGAAAGCCACGGCUAACUACGUG
This 497-nucleotide ribosomal RNA is filed under the name uncultured bacterium. RNAcentral describes it as "partial 16S ribosomal RNA". It matches the Rfam family "Bacterial small subunit ribosomal RNA", at positions 28 to 507 of the family's 1533-position model. The record is from RNAcentral.